Dromaius novaehollandiae (emu) is the source of this 5921-nucleotide long non-coding RNA. RefSeq lists it as uncharacterized. The transcript has 2 exons. The record is from RefSeq and is a predicted model, not a curated record. NCBI's taxonomy places the organism in Eukaryota, Metazoa, Chordata, Aves, Casuariiformes, Dromaiidae.
AUGGCAGGAGUGCAAUUUGUGCUGGAGCGGAUCCAGGGAUUCAGCAGCGGCGCAGGACGAGAAACCACAGGAAGUAACUAAACUUAAAUCAAAGAACGGAAACGACUCGGUUCAAAUUUAGAAAGUGCACAUUGUUUUCUGCUAGAUGUGCCAUUUCCUCCCGGGGUGACCUUUAUUCAUAAAUAAUAUAACGCUGGAGAUCGGCCUGAAGAAGCGGUGAGUAACGCUCCGGAGCAAGUUGCAGGAGGGGAAAAGCUGCUGGUAUCGAAAGGAAAUCGCGAGCUGCUGAAGGCAUUUCGGGUUGUUUGUUUCCAGACAAACAAAUUAAUCUUUUCCAAAGCGUGAAAGAUUUUAAUAUUACAGCGGUCUGAAAAGCCCCGGGGUAGGGGGGGAAGUCAGGAAAAAGCUGCACGAGCCCACAACCGUCGCGGGAGGAGUGGGUGUGCGAGGGUGAACGUGUGCGCUGUACCUGCAAACGCGUGUCCUGCUGCCAAUUAAAGUUCACAGGUUUAACACAACCGUACGAAAACUGGGGCAUGAAUUAAGUACGACAUUUUUGGCAGGAGAGCAAGAAGUGCGUUUUACCCCCGUUUUAGCUGCUGCUUCGGUGGGUCUCUUGCCAUCUGGGUCUGACCCGCUGCCGGCCCCGCUGAGCCGGGGGGCUGGUGGUGGGACCUGCGCCCGGCUCGCCUGCGUCCGCUGCGUGAAACCAGCAGCGAAAAAUGUGUUAUUUCUCAGUAAUGGUGGUGAUACUUCUUGCACCGUAGUCUUUAUGCCGUUGCUCUUCUCCAGUUGGAAUUUGCUGCUGGGUCAUCUCAACCAUCCACCCAGAAUUUCUUAUUUCAUUUUUCAUAGCUCAUUGACAUCCUGACUCUAGAAACAAGGGCGGUUUUAAAGUGUAUUUUCUAAUUAUUUCAAAAAUAAAAAUAAGCAAGGAUUCUCACAGCUAUGGGGCAUGCAGAGGGGGGAAAAUGAUUCUUUUUUUGUGCGUAGAAUCCAGUGUCACGGUAUAAAAAAGCCUUACUGCAAAAUCAGAGUCUAGCAAAGCACUCGGUUGCGUAUCAGCUGGAUGUUGUGCUUGCAGGAAGAGUUAGAUUUCACAGGAUUUUUUUUUUUUUGAAGGCGAGCGAUGCAGCUGUUUGGGCCGGAGCCAGGGCGGCCGGCGGAGCUGGUGGGGGACGGGAGGCAGCCGGAGGAAAUGGUGGCACGCGUAGCAAUGUCACCGGCCCGGUGCCAGCGCCUCUGCCGCGCUGCCGGUGCCGCUUUGUCACCUCGUCCUGGUUUUGAAGCCACCUCCAGCACGUGGCUCGGUGUCUCGGCCUGAGUUUGGUCUCGCUCGUUACCGGUCUCUGCAGGUUCCCCCCGUCACGGUGGGUUUACCGGAGCCGCAGAGCAUCACUCAUUUGAAGGUGCCCCGCGCGCCGGCAUCCGUGAUGCAGGAAGCUGCCGGUCGCAGAGCCUGCGGUGGUCCAGGGCGCGCGGUGAUGUCGCGCGGCACUUGCGGCACCGGCUUAAUUUGUACAAGGGCUAUAGCCACAGGUAGCAAAUGCUUUACUCUUAAAAACACCUGACCACAAAAACUUAAGCCCACGGACACCACCAUAUGCAGGUAGACACUAAAAGAUGGCUUAACUGCGAUCACGCUGAUCAGGAUUUCAGUUAAUUAUCACAGAAAAGAUUAACCCUGGACUAAAUUCCAUGCUUUAGGAUAGUUAAGGUUGAAAAUUAUUCACUCUCUUUUUUUCUUAGCAGUAGUGUUUCAGAUCAGUUUAGUAACAGGUAAACCGGUCCCGCAAAGCAGGAGGGAUGGAAGCACGGACACGUGAAGCCUCUUCUCCCAAUUCCUGCCGAAAUGAGCUCGGCGAGGGGCUGAGGCAGGAGCAGACCCCACGGACAUCCGGGCACAGGACGGACUUGGGUGAAACGGCCGGUGUUGGUGCUGGGGUACAUUCGGACCCUCCACUUCUGCCCUUCCUCCUCACUCCUGAGCAGACGGUUUCCUUCGCUGCUCUUACCAAACACAUCGAAGCGUGCUUAAGCAAGGUAAAUUUAUGAUGCUUAUGGAAUCGUCCAAGGAAUACGACUGCUUUGCUGCCGCUGGCCUUGUCGCCAAGAGCUUCAGCGGUGCACGACGAUUGCUGCUGACAGAUCCGGGUCAGGUAUCCCCAGUGCUCCUCUGCUGAAACGCGGAGUGCUCCGGCUGGCCCUUGUCCUGCCGGGAGGCUCUUCCCCCCCUUGGGAUCUGCCUGGAUGAGAGCAAUGGUGGUGGUCUACGGUGUGCUUGCUCCUGUCUUUGUGUCUGUGUGCUUUCACCGGCACGUGCCUCGAGCAUGUCUUUCUCUGAGCUGUUUCUGCUUUAAGCUUUACGUCUGCAGCCCGUGAGAAGAAAGAUCUCGGAUUCGGUGGCAGGCGCCAGGCGCUGCUGCCGGCAGCCUUGGGCAGGCCAAGCUCUUGGAAAUACGUGAUGUAGCAAAGGGAACUAGGUGCCUGCUGUGUUUGCGCGGCAGAAGAGAAGAGACGGGUAUUCCCGCUCCUAUGGCAGAAAGUCAGGAGUCAGCUCAGGACUGGGGUUAAGGACUUCUUCUGGGUCAGAAGCAGGUCAAGAAGUCUGACUUCUCCCUUGAGUCCUUGCAGGCUGAAGUCUGCCUGUGCGAGUGUGUCCACGGACCCUGAUGACUUAGCUGGAAGACCCCCAACGGCGUCAGAAGUUGACCUUCUUUGGUCAGCGUGUUCCCCGGGCAGGGGAGGGAGAAAUGCAGCUGUGACCAGCCUGAAACUGUUCCAGGAUGACGGGAACAAUACAAGCAAGUCAUCUUCCGAAACCUUGGCAGCUCACAAGGAUAUAUAAGGAUACGCUCGCCUUUCCCCCUCCUUUUCUUUCCUGCCUUUACGCAGCAGGUCUGGGGCUGGCGGCUGGAGCCACCGGGGCUGACCGGGGACGGGGGAGUCACCAGGGCCGAGCUGCAAACGUCCAGCCCCCCGGGAGCGUUCCUGCUCUUCGGGCUGCUGCGACAAGGCAGGGCUGAACGUCGCGGUGCCGGUGCCGCGAUCUGCACGGAUCUGCACCGUCUAGCGAUGUCGGCCAGGUACCGCUCGCAGCCGCCGAGUUAAGUGCUCAAACCAAGCAGGUUUAAUGUAACAGGAUGCACCGUUUGGAGAAAAUUGUAGAUUAAAAAAAUAAAAAGAAAAAUAGGAAAAAAAAAACAUUUUACAAGAUGUUUGAGCACUGUGAUUUUGCAAAAGUCACAUAACUUUGCGUCGUGCCUUUGUAAUCCAUUGCCAAGGCACUAAUCCAGUCUGACUGUAACUCACGUUUUUAUUCUGAGUCCAAAAAAUGCCACAUAAUACUUGUAAAUUAAGUUAGUUAAUCUUUGAUCAUCAGUAAUUACAUACAUAUUAUUGCAUUAACCUAGGUGCAAACUCACUGGAUGCAACUCUACAGAAAACUUUCUGGAAGCAGGCAAUUGGAAGGAAAACUCAUGCGCAUGCUCUAAUAUUGGGCUUUAUUCACUCCUUAGAGGUGUGCACCGUAACAGCGGGAUGGUGAAAAUGAGAGCUGGGCCGUGCAGAACGAGGCGCUGCGUGGGAGCAAAGCCAAGCUGGGAGAGCACUAGCGCGGUUUGGGACACCUGCAACGCCCGUGGUCCCCGGAGGUGACAGAUACCGCACUCUCGUGGUCCAUCUCCCAUCGCCCAGGACCACGUGCGAAGUGGCACAGUUUGCCCAAGCCACUUCUGAGCGAUGCAGAAGGUUUCAGGACGCGGCGUAGAAAUGCAGACGGCUGAGUUCGCUCUCAGCUGCUGGGGAAAGGGCGAAUCCCCGGCUGCUGCUCGGGGCCCUGGCUAAUGCAGAGACCACCCGUGUGAUCGAGGAAGCAGCGUGGCCAACUACAACUCUUCUGAUACUGUGUGAGCAGCAAGUGCCAGAUCAGUGGCCACUUUACCUCUUUUAAUGAAUUUUAGUCCUAAUAACGCUGCCUGCGUCGGCAGGGCAGCCUGUCCCUACGCCGCUCCCGUGGAGCAGCUCCUCGCCUCACCCCACCAAGGCUUCUCCUGCGACUGCUCAGAUAAGUCACUGCUGCUUACUGCAGCAUGUUUCGUGGCGCAGCUCGUGCCCCUCGUUUUGAGCCUGGCAACACGUCCCGUAACUUCAGGGCGCUGCUGAGCACGCAGCAUCCGCAGGGCUCGCGCGCUGCUCCGGACCUCUGGCUGCGAGGCGUUGGCGCGGGAUGCAGAGCAACGGCAUUAGCAGAGCCUCCUUCCCUCGCAGGCUUCGUGAAGAGGGGAUGGAGAAAUUACCGCGGGGAAACGGAAGGCCAAAUCCCGCCUGGAGCCCGUGGGAGCUGCACGCUCCGUGCUGGGCGCGUGUUAACGCCUGGACGACUGACCUAGGGCUUCACCGUGGCUCAGCACCGGCGAGGAGCAGAGACCAGAGAUCCCUGAAUCCUGUCACCUAACAGCUCCAUCAUGCUUCCCCUGGGUCGCUAUGAUAAUGUCAGACCUUUUAUUAGCCACAAAAAAGCUGAAAUACUUCCUCUAGAAGAGAGCAAUCACCUAAUGAAGCUUGCAGUGUUUGUAGUAAUAGUUGCAGUAAAGGUACUGUAGAGGCUCUGGUUUUCUUUACUGCAUGGGACACGUGAAUUUCUGAGACAGCAGGACAAAAAUCAAAGGAGAAAUGUUUUCUUUCUAGAAAAGUCUGAAAGUAAAAAGAAAAAACCUAUCAUAAGGGAAAACAAUGUACUUUACAUCUGAAGUCAAGGGAGGCCAUAUACUCCAAGACCUGUGUGUGUCAACACCUCUCAGAAUUGAUGGUAAUCCAUAUUGAAUAGUCGCCCCUCUAAUUUAGCAUUAUUUUUAGAAGGAUCAUGACUGUAUUCUCUUUUCUACGGUGGUUUGGUUAUACGAUCUAGAAAAGCUUAUCCAGAAGGAGCUCCUCGGAGCUGCCUCCGGCGCUUUUGGACAAGUGUGGGAAUGCUGCCGUUCUGGCCUUGGCACAGCGCUGAAGGCCAAGAGCCAUCAGCAACGGAGAGCUCAUCUCCGCAGCUACUUGGAGAGGAGUGAAAUGCUUGGGAUGUGAAUGGAAAAUGAAGCCAGGGUGUCCGGUGUAAGAGCUAUCCUUGCUAUCAAAAAGCACUUGCAAAGGGAAGAUUUAUAGGGCUUAAUAGAACAUCUGCACAAAAUGGUGCAGGAGAGUGAGCAGGCACCUGGCGAGUAGCCUGGGAAAUGGUCCGGAUGGUGAGUGCUGCUCCCUUCCUCCGGGAGAGACCAUUUCGGAGCAAACGAGAGGGUCAAUACAGACCUCGCUUCCCCCAAAUCUCAGCAGAGGAGCAGCUGGCCGCUGCCCGAGCCGAUGCUGCCAUUGCCGUGUCACCCCGUGGCAUUAAGGAUGCUCCUCUCUGGGCAGCCCAAACACGACAAGUGACAGGCUGCUGCUGACGGAAGUGAGAAGCUUCAAUGAGGGAAGACUACACUAAAGUGAGAAGAAACCUUUAGGAAGCAUGUGUUUUAAAUGUGUGAUUAAGAAUAGCAUAUAAUGUUGGAGCUCGUCAAGACUAAGUUAAGCUUUCUGAAUUUUGAGUUAAGCUGUAAAUUCUUUAAAAGAGGGAAAACAAAGCUCUUUCUUUUUCAUAAAGUAUUUAUUAAUAUCGACAGACUAUUGAUAUUAAUUCUUUUUGUUCCUCCCCUUAACAGCUUUAUACCUCUAAAGACAGCUAGAAUUUUCACUAACAGUAAUAAGGGGAAAAAAUUAGAAAGCUUAUUAGGAGAAACCUGCCCUUUUUCAAAUGAGACAUUAAGUUCUUGCCAGAGCUUGGAAAUUCGGAAGCGGGGAAGUGAGACCUGGAGACUUCCAAGAAGCUGUCUCUGUCCAGCUAAAGUCUGUUCCUGUGGUGUAAGUGAAUAAAGCACAUUUUGGCCCAUGAA